UCCUACAGCUGGUGAGUGGUGGGGCUGGGAUCCCAUUUCUGACUCAGGAGACUGUAUUUAUAGCUGUUCUGUAAACCAGUAUGUGGAAGGUUCGGCAAAGCACCAAGGAGGGAAUCAUUAGCUCUGGAGCACCCAGGAGGACUUCAUGGACGAGGUGACAUGUGAGCAGAGAUCUAAAGAAUGAAGGGGACUCCCGCUGGCAGAUGAGAGCAGGAAAUUACAUUUCAGUUGGCUGGAGAGAUGGAGUAGAGAAUAUUCCUCAGCUAAUAAAAAACAAUGACGGAGAUCUUGGUGUGCCGACGGGGAAACACUCUCACGAGUUUCUCUGAAGAACCCGAAGAAGGUUCUCUGUGAGAAGCCUAAGAAGCAGAGCCAAGGUGGAGAAUGGGCCACGGAACCAGCUGGUGGGAUCUGAGGGCUGUGGGCACAAUGUCUGCCCCAGAAGCCAUCCUCGGAGCACCUGGGUGGCUCAGUCGGUUGAACAUCUGGCUCUUGAUUCUGGCUCAGGUCAUGAUCUCAGGGUUGUGGGCUCAAGCCCUGA
Molecule: long non-coding RNA, 541 nt
Organism: Leopardus geoffroyi (Geoffroy's cat)
Lineage: Eukaryota; Metazoa; Chordata; Mammalia; Carnivora; Felidae
Exons: 3
Source: RefSeq, a predicted model, not a curated record